GCCUGGCUGGCUCAGUUGGUAGAGCAUGCAACUCUUGAUCUUGGAGUCGUGAGUUCAAGUCCUACGUUGGGUG
RNAcentral lists this transfer RNA (73 nucleotides) under Canis lupus familiaris (dog). It matches the Rfam family "tRNA". From Rfam's summary of the family: Transfer RNA (tRNA) molecules are approximately 80 nucleotides in length. Their secondary structure includes four short double-helical elements and three loops (D, anti-codon, and T loops). The record is from Rfam by way of RNAcentral. Lineage: Eukaryota; Metazoa; Chordata; Mammalia; Carnivora; Canidae. RNAcentral also lists the same sequence under 1 other name.